Haliotis rubra (blacklip abalone) is the source of this 432-nucleotide long non-coding RNA. RefSeq lists it as uncharacterized. Lineage: Eukaryota; Metazoa; Mollusca; Gastropoda; Lepetellida; Haliotidae. The record is from RefSeq and is a predicted model, not a curated record. The transcript is spliced from 2 exons.
UGGUAGCGGCGACGAUAGUGGCGACGGUAGUGGUAGCGGCGACGAUAGUGGCGACGGUAGUGGUAGCGGCGACGAUAGUGGCGACGGUAGUGGUAGCGGCGACGAUAGUGGCGACGGUAGUGGUAGCGGCGACGAUAGUUGCGACGGUAGUGGUGGCGACGAUAGCGGCGAUGAUAGUGGCGACGGUAGCGGCGAUGAUAGUGGCGACGGUAGUGGUAGCGGCGGCGAUAGUGGCGACGGUAGUGAUGGCGAAAUUACUGACGGCCUUGAUGGUGGGGAAUUUUGAGAUUCCCUAGCCUGCAGACGUCCAACGGUAAUGUUUACAGCACGAUAAACAUCACACAGACCAACUCACGCCCAAAGGACUACCAGAAUCCAUUUUUGAAAAUGUAUGAAAUCAUAUGUUAAUUACACGAAAUAAAUUGUGCAAUG